CCUACGGGGAGCAGCAGUGAGGAAUAUUGGUCAAUGGACGAGAGUCUGAACCAGCCAAGUAGCGUGAAGGAUGACUGCCCUAUGGGUUGCAAACUUCUUUUAUAAAGGAAUAAAACGAGGCACGUGUGCCUUUUUGCAUGUACUUUAUGAAUAAGGAUCGGCUAACUCCGUGCCAGCAGCCGCGGUAAUACGGAGGAUCCGAGCGUUAUCCGGAUUUAUUGGGUUUAAAGGGAGCGUAGAUGGGUUGUUAAGUCAGUUGUGAAAGUUUGCGGCUCAACCGUAAAAUUGCAAUUGAUACUGGCAGUCGUGAGUACAGUUGAGGUAGGCGGAAUGAGUGGUGUAGCGGUGAAAUGCUUAGAGAUCACGAAGAACCCCGAUUGCGAAGGCAGCUUACUAAACUGUGACUGACAUUGAUGCUCGAAAGUGUGGGUAUCAAACAGGAUUAGAUGCCCCAGUAGUC
Molecule: ribosomal RNA, 460 nt
Filed under: uncultured bacterium
Lineage: Bacteria
Description: partial 16S ribosomal RNA
Rfam family: Bacterial small subunit ribosomal RNA
Source: RNAcentral